This is a long non-coding RNA of Halichondria panicea, 714 nucleotides long. RefSeq lists it as uncharacterized. The transcript is spliced from 3 exons. The record is from RefSeq and is a predicted model, not a curated record. NCBI's taxonomy places the organism in Eukaryota, Metazoa, Porifera, Demospongiae, Suberitida, Halichondriidae.
AAUAAGCUCCCACACUCAAUCUCAUGCAUGAUUGACAUGUGACAGACCUUAUACCUGUAACCCUUUUGAGAUAUUAUACUUUGAUGCCAGUGUGCAUGAAGCAUUAGAGAUCAGCUGCAACUUACUUCAAUUAGAAUCUCAGAGUCUCUAUAUCAAUCUACAUUCUGGCAAAGACUGUAUGCAUAAGUCUGUGAGUGGUGCAAUAACUAUGACAACAAAUAUUGGUUACAAUGUAUUGGUGAGUUGCAACGAGCAGCUAGUUGCUGACUUUGCUUCAGAUCCGGAAGGAAACGCUGGAGUUAUGUUCCAAAACCAUCUGAUAUCAGUCCAAACAAAUCAGAAAAUCAAUCAGCUUGACAAGAUAAACACGGAUAAGGCCAGGAUGCUAGUGGUAGAAUUGCAGGCAAAAGUCAAAAGUUUUCCGGGAACUUAUGAUGAAUUCAUUAAAGUACUUCGGGAAAGGAAUGAGCGACAUGAUGACCUCCUCUUCUCAGUGCUUACAGAUAAGUACAAGGAGUUAGAAGCUGUAACAGCAGAAACUGAAGUUCCUAAAAACCCAGUAGAACCACAGAGGAUUGUUGCAACCAGUAAGUACAGCUAUAUAAUUAUAAUGAAAGCACCACGGGUGCUGAUGCCUGCGGAGGUGCCAAAGCUACAUAACAUAAAGCUAGCUUACAUUACACAUUGAUCAUGAUAAUUUUGCUGCAUGCAGAC